UACGGGGGGAGCAGGCGUUGUUCGGAUUUACUGGGCGUAAAGAGCGCGCAGGCGGCUGGUCAAGUCCGAUGUGAAAGCUCCCGGCUUAACUGGGAAAUUGCAUCGGAAACUGAUCGGCUGGAAGGUGGGAGAGGGUAGCGGAAUUCCCGGUGUAGUGGUGAAAUGCGUAGAUAUCGGGAGGAACACCAGUGGCGAAAGCGGCUACCUGGCCCAUUCUUGACGCUGAGGCGCGAAAGCUAGGGGAGCAAACGGG
This 253-nucleotide ribosomal RNA is filed under the name uncultured bacterium. Its description in RNAcentral is "partial 16S ribosomal RNA". It matches the Rfam family "Bacterial small subunit ribosomal RNA", at positions 524 to 776 of the family's 1533-position model. The record is from RNAcentral.